This 62-nucleotide transfer RNA is filed under the name Neocentrocnemis stali. Its description in RNAcentral is "tRNA-Ile". The record is from RNAcentral. Lineage: Eukaryota; Metazoa; Arthropoda; Insecta; Hemiptera; Reduviidae.
AAUGAGAUGCCUGAUUAAAGGAUUACUUUGAUAGAGUAAAUAAUGUAAAUUUACUCUCAUUA